Molecule: regulatory RNA element, 287 nt
Organism: Xenorhabdus szentirmaii DSM 16338
Lineage: Bacteria; Pseudomonadati; Pseudomonadota; Gammaproteobacteria; Enterobacterales; Morganellaceae
Rfam family: Soft rot Enterobacteriaceae Rev 39 5'UTR
About the family: From bacteria cultured under starvation conditions.
Source: Rfam
AAUUAUUGUCAAUAAUCAUAGAAAGUGAUAACUAUUAAAUAUACGUCAAACAUACGAGUUAAAACGAACCAAAUUAUGAAUACUUUAGUCCUAGUGAUUAGCCUAAUUAUUAGCGUGGUGGUGAUUAUUCCACCGUGCGGGGCUGCACUUGGACGAAAGAAGGCUUAGAAAAAGAGAGCCAGACUUCAAAAAGACCCCCGCACCGAAAGGCGCGGGGGUUUUUUUUAGGGCAAUUUUUUAGUUUAGAGAAGAAAAACAAGCAUAACAAAACAUCACAACCAGCCGGU